RNAcentral lists this ribosomal RNA (279 nucleotides) under uncultured bacterium. RNAcentral describes it as "partial 16S ribosomal RNA". It matches the Rfam family "Bacterial small subunit ribosomal RNA", at positions 506 to 784 of the family's 1533-position model. The record is from RNAcentral.
UGCCAGCAGCCGCGGUAAUACGGAGGGUGCAAGCGUUGUUCGGAAUUAUUGGGCGUAAAGCGCGUGUAGGCGGUUCGUUAAGUCUGAUGUGAAAGCCCGGGGCUCAACCAUGGAAUUGCAUUGAAUACUGGCAGACUAGAGUACGAGAGAGGAAAGUGGAAUUUCCGGUGUAGCGGUGGAAUGCGUAGAUAUCGGAAGGAACACCAAAGGCGAAGGCAGCUUUCUGGCUCGUUACUGACCCUGAGGGACGAAAGUUAGGGGAGCGAACAGGAUUAGAUA